This 497-nucleotide ribosomal RNA is filed under the name uncultured bacterium. RNAcentral's name for it is "partial 16S ribosomal RNA". It matches the Rfam family "Bacterial small subunit ribosomal RNA", at positions 28 to 507 of the family's 1533-position model. The record is from RNAcentral.
GAUGAACGCUGGCGGCGUGCCUAAUACAUGCAAGUCGAGCGAACGGACGAGACGCUUGCUUCUCUGAUGUUAGCGGCGGACGGGUGAGUAACACGUGGAUAACCUACCUAUAAGACUGGGAUAACUUCGGGAAACCGGAGCUAAUACCGGAUAAUAUUUUGAACCGCAUGGUUCAAAAGUGAAAGACGGUCUUGCUGUCACUUAUAGAUGGAUCCGCGCUGCAUUAGCUAGUUGGUAAGGUAACGGCUUACCAAGGCAACGAUGCAUAGCCGACCUGAGAGGGUGAUCGGCCACACUGGAACUGAGACACGGUCCAGACUCCUACGGGAGGCAGCAGUAGGGAAUCGUCCGCAAUGGGCGAAAGCCUGACGGAGCAACGCCGCGUGAGUGAUGAAGGUCUUCGGAUCGUAAAACUCUGUUAUUAGGGAAGAACAUAUGUGUAAGUAACUGUGCACAUCUUGACGGUACCUAAUCAGAAAGCCACGGCUAACUACGUG